Molecule: unclassified non-coding RNA, 247 nt
Filed under: Ascomycota sp.
Lineage: Eukaryota; Fungi; Ascomycota
Description: partial contains small subunit ribosomal RNA, internal transcribed spacer 1, and 5.8S ribosomal RNA
Rfam family: Eukaryotic small subunit ribosomal RNA (bases 1-46)
Source: RNAcentral
AAGUCGUAACAAGGUCUCCGUUGGUGAACCAGCGGAGGGAUCAUUACAAGAAGCCGAAAGGCUACUUAAAACCAUCGCGAACUUAUCCAAGUUGCUUCGGCGGCGCGGCUCCCCUCACCGGGCGCCGCAGCCCCGCCUCUCAGGAGGUAUGGGGCGCCCGCCGGAGGUACGAAACUCUGUAUUAUAGUGGUAUCUCUGAGUAAAAACAAAUAAGUUAAAACUUUCAACAACGGAUCUCUUGGUUCUG